GACGAACGCUGGCGGCGUGCUUAACACAUGCAAGUCGAACGGUAAGGCCCUUCGGGGUACACGAGUGGCGAACGGGUGAGUAACGCGUGAGUAACUUGCCCUUCACUCGGGGAUAACAGUUGGAAACGGCUGCUAAUACCGGAAAUUCAGCCCCUUUCGCAUGGGGGGGGUGGGAAGGUUUUGGUGGUGGGGGAUGGGCUCGCGUCCUAUCAGCUUGUUGGUGGGGUGAUGGCCUACCAAGGCGUCGACGGGUAGCCGGCCUGAGAGGGCGAUCGGCCACAUUGGGACUGAGAUACGGCCCAAACUCCUACGGGAGGCAGCAGUGGGGAAUAUUGCACAAUGGGCGGAAGCCUGAUGCAGCAACGCCGCGUGCGGGAUGACGGCCUUCGGGUUGUAAACCGCUUUCAGCAGGGACGAAGCGCAAGUGACGGUACCUGCAGAAGAAGCACCGGCUAACUACGUG
RNAcentral lists this ribosomal RNA (463 nucleotides) under uncultured bacterium. Its description in RNAcentral is "partial 16S ribosomal RNA". It matches the Rfam family "Bacterial small subunit ribosomal RNA", at positions 28 to 507 of the family's 1533-position model. The record is from RNAcentral.